UACGUAGGGUGCAAGCGUUGUCCGGAAUUAUUGGGCGUAAAGAGCUCGUAGGCGGUCUGUCGCGUCGGCUGUGAAAACCCGGGGCUCAACCCCGGGCCUGCAGUCGAUACGGGCAGACUAGAGUGCGGUAGGGGAGACUGGAAUUCCUGGUGUAGCGGUGAAAUGCGCAGAUAUCAGGGGGAACACCGGUGGCGAAGGCGGGUCUCUGGGCCGUAACUGACGCUGAGGAGCGAAAGCGUGGGGAGCGAACAGG
This 253-nucleotide ribosomal RNA is filed under the name uncultured bacterium. RNAcentral's name for it is "partial 16S ribosomal RNA". It matches the Rfam family "Bacterial small subunit ribosomal RNA", at positions 524 to 776 of the family's 1533-position model. The record is from RNAcentral.